ACAGACUCUCUAUCAAUGUCUUUGUCUGCUAAAGAUAUUUCCCAGCUUUUAUUUUUAUUGGCCAUAUGUACAUUUCCAAGGCUGAAAUAAAUGAAUUACAGCAGUUUGGAUUUCUACAAAAACAUCCUGUCUCAGCGGUCCACGGGGCUCUGCUGGAUCCUGAGAGAUAAUAAAGUCCAUGAAAAAAGUCUGGCUGGGGUGCCAUUUCCCUACCUAGACUUCAGCAUCCAGGCCAGAGGAUGACAACUCAUCCCAACCAGCAGCUCUUGGCACUUGAAACCAUGUACCAGGUUCAGAAGCUCCUGCUAGUUUUAACUGACCUUUCCAAACACGCUUGCAUGAUUCUGCCACAAAAAGGAGAAGGGGAACAACCCUGUGAGAAGGUCUGGCCACCCCAGCAAGCUCCGCAGACAGCCCUGUUCUCAGCAGUGGGUUCAUUCUACUGCCCCAGGAGGUGAUAAAAGCAAGUUACUUUUGCUUAUGAACAGGCUAAAAGGAGUGUCUAUCCAUGUUUUAACACAGAAUUUUUAAAUUAAGGAAAAUGUGCAUACAGGUAUUACUCAAUUCCCUGGUAUUAAUCCAACUGUGAUCUUUCACUC
This is a long non-coding RNA of Cygnus olor (mute swan), 599 nucleotides long. RefSeq lists it as uncharacterized. The record is from RefSeq and is a predicted model, not a curated record. The transcript has 3 exons. NCBI's taxonomy places the organism in Eukaryota, Metazoa, Chordata, Aves, Anseriformes, Anatidae.